GGAUGUGUGGGCAAUCUGGCUGCCACAUAUCACCCUACGGAUUGCCAGGGUUGAUUCAGCUGAUCAGCUGACUAGGUGGGUGCCCCAUUCCUCUCACCACUUCAUGUGUGUCCCUCCCAAAGCUGCUUGCUCGGUGGAAGAGAUGACCAUCUCAGAUAGAAGCGUGCCAAUCUUCAGUCAAGGGUAUACGAUAG
This 194-nucleotide small nuclear RNA is filed under the name Ophiophagus hannah (king cobra). RNAcentral describes it as "7SK RNA". It matches the Rfam family "7SK RNA", at positions 1 to 200 of the family's 331-position model. Rfam says of the family: 7SK was discovered as an abundant small nuclear RNA in the mid-70s but a possible function has only recently been suggested. Two independent studies have found that 7SK RNA binds the CDK9/cyclin T complex (known as elongation factor P-TEFb). Lineage: Eukaryota; Metazoa; Chordata; Lepidosauria; Squamata; Elapidae. The record is from Rfam by way of RNAcentral.